This 441-nucleotide ribosomal RNA is filed under the name uncultured Barnesiella sp. RNAcentral's name for it is "bacterial SSU rRNA". It matches the Rfam family "Bacterial small subunit ribosomal RNA", at positions 355 to 794 of the family's 1533-position model. Lineage: Bacteria; Pseudomonadati; Bacteroidota; Bacteroidia; Bacteroidales; Barnesiellaceae. The record is from RNAcentral.
UGAGGAAUAUUGGUCAAUGGUCGGAAGACUGAACCAGCCAUGCCGCGUGAAGGUCAGUGCCCUAUGGGCGUUAAACUUCUUUUGUGUGAGAGCAAUAAGGACCUCGUGAGGUUCGAUGAGAGUAUCACACGAAUAAGCAUCGGCUAACUCCGUGCCAGCAGCCGCGGUAAUACGGGGGAUGCGAGCGUUAUCCGGAUUUAUUGGGUUUAAAGGGUGCGCAGGCGGCGCGCCAAGUCAGCGGUCAAAGUUCCGGGCUCAACCCGGUGUCGCCGUUGAAACUGGCGUGCUCGAGUGCGUGCGAGGAAGGCGGAAUGCGUUGUGUAGCGGUGAAAUGCAUAGAUAUGACGCAGAACUCCGAUUGCGAAGGCAGCUUUCCAGCGCGCUACUGACGCUGAGGCACGAAAGCGUGGGGAUCGAACAGGGAUUAGAUACCCUGGUAGU